UCGGACGGGUGAGUAACGCGUGAGAAUCUGCCUUCAGGAUGGGGACAACAGUUGGAAACGACUGCUAAUACCCAAUGUGCCUACGGGUGAAACCUUUUUUGGCCUGAAGAUGAGCUCGCGUCUGAUUAGCUAGUUGGUGGUGUAAUGGACUCACCAAGGCAACGAUCAGUAGCUGGUCUGAGAGGAUGAGCAGCCACACUGGGACUGAGACACGGCCCAGACUCCUACGGGAGGCAGCAGUGGGGAAUUUUCCGCAAUGGGCGAAAGCCUGACGGAGCAAUACCGCGUGAGGGAGGAAGGUUCUUGGAUUGUAAACCUCUUUUCUCAGGGAAGAAAAAAAUGACGGUACCUGAGGAAUAAGCAUCGGCUAACUCCGUGCCAGCAGCCGCGGUAAUACGGGGGAUGCAAGCGUUAUCCGGAAUUAUUGGGCGUAAAGAGUCCGUAGGUGGUCUUGCAAGUCGACUGUCAAAGCCCGCAGCUUAACUGCGGAGAGGCGGUGGAAACUGUGAGACUAGAGUAUGGUAGGGGUAGAGGGAAUUCCCAGUGUAGCGGUGAAAUGCGUAGAUAUUGGGAAGAACACCGGUGGCGAAAGCGCUCUACUGGACCAUAACUGACACUCAGGGA
Molecule: ribosomal RNA, 624 nt
Filed under: Phormidium sp. UIO 146
Lineage: Bacteria; Bacillati; Cyanobacteriota; Cyanophyceae; Oscillatoriales; Oscillatoriaceae
Description: bacterial SSU rRNA
Rfam family: Bacterial small subunit ribosomal RNA
Source: RNAcentral